CCGACCUGCACGAAUGGCGUAACGAUGGCGGCGCUGUCUCCACCCGAGACUCAGUGAAAUUGAAAUCGCUGUGAAGAUGCAGUGUAUCCGCGGCAAGACGGAAAGACCCCGUGAACCUUUACUAUAGCUUUGCACUGGACUUUGAAGUUGUUUGUGUAGGAUAGGUGGGAGGCUUUGAAGCAGCGACGCUAGUUGCUGUGGAGCCAACCUUGAAAUACCACCCUGGCAACUUUGAGGUUCUAACUCUGGUCCGUUAUCCGGAUCGAGGACAGUGUAUGGUGGGUAGUUUGACUGGGGCGGUCUCCUCCUAAAGAGUAACGGAGGAGUACGAAGGUGCGCUCAGACCGGUCGGAAAUCGGUCGUAGAGUAUAAAGGCAAAAGCGCGCUUAACUGCGAGACCAACAAGUCGAGCAGGUACGAAAGUAGGUCUUAGUGAUCCGGUGGUUCUGUAUGGAAGGGCCAUCGCUCAACGGAUAAAAGGUACUCCGGGGAUAACAGGCUGAUACCGCCCAAGAGUUCAUAUCGACGGCGGUGUUUGGCACCUCGAUGUCGGCUCAUCACAUCCUGGGGCUGAAGCCGGUCCCAAG
RNAcentral lists this ribosomal RNA (587 nucleotides) under Salmonella enterica subsp. enterica serovar Dublin. Its description in RNAcentral is "partial 23S ribosomal RNA". It matches the Rfam family "Bacterial large subunit ribosomal RNA", at positions 1983 to 2569 of the family's 2925-position model. The record is from RNAcentral. Lineage: Bacteria; Pseudomonadati; Pseudomonadota; Gammaproteobacteria; Enterobacterales; Enterobacteriaceae.